This 1591-nucleotide long non-coding RNA is filed under the name Salmo salar (Atlantic salmon). RNAcentral's name for it is "lncRNA (ENSSSAG00000100034.1)". The record is from RNAcentral. Lineage: Eukaryota; Metazoa; Chordata; Actinopteri; Salmoniformes; Salmonidae.
UGUGUUACUGGUUAUAUGUUGCUCUGUCUGUCUGUGUGAUACUGGUUAUAUGUUGCUCUGUCUGUCUGUCUGUGUUACUGGUUAUAUGUUGCUCUGUCUGUCUGUGUGAUACUGGUUAUAUGUUGCUCUGUCUGUCUGUGUGUUACUGGUUAUAUGUUGCUCUGUCUGUCUGUGUUACUGGUUAUAUGUUGCUCUGUCUGUCUGUCCUUUACAGAAAUGUUGAUAAAUGUGCACUGUACCUUUAAAAAAAUAAACUUAAUUAAAGUAAUAAUAAUAAUGUCUGGAUAAUGUAUAGAAUAUCAAGGUUCAGAGUUUAUAACUGGAUAAUGUAUAGAAUAUCCAGGUUCAGAGUUUAUAACUGGAUAAUGUAUAGAAUAUCAAGGUUCAGAGUUUAUAACUGGAUAAUGUAUGGAAUAUCAAGGUUCAGAGUUUAUAACUGGGUAAUGUAUAGAAUAUCAAGGAUGCGUUUAUAACUGGGUAAUGUAUAGAAUAUCAAGGUUCAGAGUUUAUAACUGGAUAAUGCACAUGUUGAGGUCCAGUGUGAGGAUAACAUAGCAUCAUAUAGAGGACCAGUGUGUGUAUGACUGGAUAAUGUAGCUUCAUAUAGAGGACCAGUGUGUGUAUGACUGGAUAAUGUAGCUUCAUAUAGAGGACCAGUGUGUGUAUGACUGGAUAACAUAGCAUCAUAUAGAGGACCAGUGUGUGUAUGACUGGAUAAUGUAGCUUCAUAUAGAGGACCAGUGUGUGCAUGACUGGAUAAUGUAGCUUCAUAUAGAGGACCAGUGUGUGUAUGACUGGAUAAUGUAGCUUCAUAUAGAGGACCAGUGUGUGUAUGACUGGAUAAUGUAGCUUCAUAUAGAGGACCCGUGUGUGUAUGACUGGAUAAUGUAGCUUCAUAUAGAGGACCAGUGUGUGUAUGACUGGAUAAUGUAGCUUCAUAUAGAGGACCAGUGUGUGCAUGACUGGAUAAUGUAGCUUCAUAUAGAGGACCAGUGUGUGUAUGACUGGAUAAUGUAGCUUCAUAUAGAGGACCAGUGUGUGUAUGACUGGAUAACAUAGCAUCAUAUAGAGGACCAGUGUGUGUAUGACUGGAUAAUGUAGCUUCAUAUAGAGGACCAGUGUGUGUAUGACUGGAUAAUGUAGCUUCAUAUAGAGGACCAGUGUGUUUAUGACUGGAUAAUGUAGCUUCAUAUAGAGGACCCGUGUGUGUAUGACUGGAUAAUGUAGCUUCAUAUAGAGGACCAGUGUGUUUAUGACUGGAUAAUGUAGCUUCAUAUAGAGGACCAGUGUGUGUAUGACUGGAUAAUGUAGCUUCAUAUAGAGGACCAGUGUGUGUAUGACUGGAUAAUGUAGCUUCAUAUAGAGGACCAGUGUGUGUAUGACUGGAUAAUGUAGCUUCAUAUAGAGGACCAGUGUGUUUAUGACUGGAUAAUGUAGCUUCAUAUAGAGGACCCGUGUGUGUAUGACUGGAUAAUGUAGCUUCAUAUAGAGGACCAGUGUGUGUAUGACUGGAUAAUGUAGCUUCAUAUAGAGGACCCGUGUGUGUAUGACUGGAUAAUGUAGCUUCAUAUAGAGGACCAGUGUGUGUAUG